This 405-nucleotide ribosomal RNA is filed under the name uncultured bacterium. RNAcentral's name for it is "partial 16S ribosomal RNA". It matches the Rfam family "Bacterial small subunit ribosomal RNA", at positions 28 to 526 of the family's 1533-position model. The record is from RNAcentral.
GAUGAACGCUGGCGGCGUGCCUAAUACAUGCAAGUCGAGCGAAGCUGGUACUGGUGAGUAACACGUGGAUAACCUCCUAUAAGUCUGGGCUCACUUCUGGAAACCUGUGCUAAACCGGAUACUUAUAGUUGGAUCUUCGCUGCAUUAGCUAUUUGGUAAGGUAACGGCUUACCAAGGCAACGAUGCAUAGCCGACCUGAGAGGGUGAUCGGCCACACUGGAAAUGAGAAACGGUCCAGACACCUAAGGGAGGCAGCAGUAGGGAAUCUUCCGCAAUGGGCGAAAGAAUGAAGGAGCAACGCCGCGUAAGUGAUGAAGGUCUUCGGAUCGUAAAACUCUGUUAUUAGGGAAGCGGUACCUAAUCAGAAAGCCACGGCUAACUACGUGCCAGCAGCCGCGGAAAUUC